CCUACGGGAGGCAGCAGUGGGGAAUAUUGGACAAUGGGGGCAACCCUGAUCCAGCCAUGCCGCGUGUGUGAAGAAGGCCCUCGGGUUGUAAAGCACUUUCAGUGAGGAAGAACGCCUGGUGGUUAAUACCCAUCAGGAAAGACAUCACUCACAGAAGAAGCACCGGCUAACUCCGUGCCAGCAGCCGCGGUAAUACGGAGGGUGCGAGCGUUAAUCGGAAUUACUGGGCGUAAAGCGCACGUAGGUGGCUUGAUAAGCCGGUUGUGAAAGCCCCGGGCUCAACCUGGGAACGGCAUCCGGAACUGUCAAGCUAGAGUGCAGGAGAGGAAGGUAGAAUUCCCGGUGUAGCGGUGAAAUGCGUAGAGAUCGGGAGGAAUACCAGUGGCGAAGGCGGCCUUCUGGACUGACACUGACACUGAGGUGCGAAAGCGUGGGUAGCAAACAGGAUUAGAUACCCUAGUAGUC
RNAcentral lists this ribosomal RNA (465 nucleotides) under Vreelandella stevensii. RNAcentral describes it as "partial 16S ribosomal RNA". It matches the Rfam family "Bacterial small subunit ribosomal RNA", at positions 338 to 795 of the family's 1533-position model. The record is from RNAcentral. Lineage: Bacteria; Pseudomonadati; Pseudomonadota; Gammaproteobacteria; Oceanospirillales; Halomonadaceae.